AAGUGGUGGAAACAAAACCUUGAGGGACGCGUGGAGAAAGAAUUGGCUACAGUGUUAAAGAGGACCUUUGGGCAGUGGGCAAUUGCUGGCUGGCUCCAGGCGCGUGUCUGAGGGUCUCUGACCAACUGUAUGAUAGAUUCGGGCGCGUGGACAGCACGUGGGACUACGGGGAGAGGACAUGUACACAAAGAUUUGGCUCCAGAUCCAAAAUGUCAUGUAUUUGGCAAUUUUAUUUAUGGUAGCACUCCCCACCCCUCCCAUCUGCUCUUUUCCCUUCCCUCCACUCCCCUCCCCUAUGCUCCCUGUCCCGACACUCCCCUCCCCUCCCCUCCCCUAUACUACCCUACACACCCCUAUACUACCCUACACUCCCCUCCCCUCCCCUAUACUACCCUACACUCUGCUACACUCCCCUCCCCUACACAGCCCUACACACCGCUGUAAUCCCCUCCCCUACACUACCCUACAUUCCCCUUCGCUACACUACCCUACAUUACCCUAUGCUCCCCUCCCCUAUGCUCCCCUACACUCCCCUCCCCUAUCCUACCCUACACUCCCCUAAACUCCACUCCCCUACACUACCUUCUACUCUCCUAUGCUCCCUUCCCCUCUACUAUGCUACACUACGCUAUGCUACACUACCCUAUCCUACCCUCCCUUAUCCUAUUCUCCCCUUACACUAUCUUCCCCUCCCCUCCCCUCCAAUCCCCUCCAAGUCCCCUCCAACCCUGCCCUCCUGCUGCACUCACUUGGGGGCCGCAGGGCUGCUUCUCACUCCUCUCUCCCAGCAUCUGUAACAUCACAGAUGUUUUUCCUUUUUUCAGUCUGCUCUCCCAGAAACCCAGGCAGCAUCGCUCCUUGACUAGGCCAUGGCCAGUAUCUGGUCUCUUUUGGAGCCAGCUGGAGCUGGCUCUGGUCUGACAUGGGGCAGCUGCUGGGCUCUGCUCUCAGAAACCACCCGUUCUGCCCCUUGCGACCAAAGCCUUACCACAUGAACCUAACAGAAAGUGGAAU
RNAcentral lists this long non-coding RNA (1014 nucleotides) under Anas platyrhynchos platyrhynchos (common mallard). Its description in RNAcentral is "lncRNA (ENSAPLG00000025205.1)". The record is from RNAcentral. Lineage: Eukaryota; Metazoa; Chordata; Aves; Anseriformes; Anatidae.